AGAAAAAGAGGCAGAACAAAUAAAUGGACGGGAGCUCAAAAGCACAGCAAGGACUUUACUGAUUGGUUUAAAACUAGAGUAUCUAAGUUGGAAUCAGCAUCAGAGUGGUAGUUUUUUUAUUAGAUAGCAGACCUAAGCUUAUCGCCGGUUCAGUAGCAGGAUACACUGGCCAUGUUGAUGGGAGACCACGAGAAGGAAGGAUGAACCAUAAACUGUCCUUGUGAUGAUAGAUUUUGUAGUAGACACCAGUGGAAAGAGGUUUUCUUGGCAGGUUUAUAAACAUAAACUUCUAUCAAUUUUUAACCAUUUCGUAGCAAUUGGAGAUUAAGACAUAAUCAAUGGUAUAGCUGAUGGAAAGA
Molecule: long non-coding RNA, 359 nt
Organism: Asparagus officinalis (garden asparagus)
Lineage: Eukaryota; Viridiplantae; Streptophyta; Magnoliopsida; Asparagales; Asparagaceae
Exons: 3
Source: RefSeq, a predicted model, not a curated record